GACGGAGGAUGCAAGCGUUAUCCGGAAUGAUUGGGCGUAAAGCGUCCGCAGGUGGCCGUUCAAGUCUGCUGUCAAAGACCGGGGCUUAACUUCGGAAAGGCAGUGGAAACUGAACAGCUAGAGUAUGGUAGGGGCAGAGGGAAUUCCUGGUGUAGCGGUGAAAUGCGUAGAGAUCGGGAAGAACAUCGGUGGCGAAAGCGCUCUACUGGACCGCAACUGACACUCAGGGACGAAAGCUAGGGGAGCGAAUGGG
This 253-nucleotide ribosomal RNA is filed under the name uncultured bacterium. RNAcentral describes it as "partial 16S ribosomal RNA". It matches the Rfam family "Bacterial small subunit ribosomal RNA", at positions 524 to 776 of the family's 1533-position model. The record is from RNAcentral.